Molecule: microRNA precursor, 69 nt
Filed under: Aedes aegypti (yellow fever mosquito)
Lineage: Eukaryota; Metazoa; Arthropoda; Insecta; Diptera; Culicidae
Description: microRNA aae-mir-11908 precursor (aae-mir-11908-2)
Source: miRBase by way of RNAcentral
UCAGCAUUUUUACACCUCAGGACGUAAGAUUGCAUCGCUGCCUGGAGUCUUGAAGUAAAACAAUGCUAA